UACGUAGGGUGCGAGCGUUACUCGGAAUUACUGGGCGUAAAGCGUGCGCAGGCGGUUCGUUAAGUCAGAUGUGAAAGCCCCGGGCUCAACCUGGGAACUGCAUUUGAAACUGGCGGGCUUGAGUGUGGCAGAGGGGGGUGGAAUUCCGCGUGUAGCAGUGAAAUGCGUAGAGAUGCGGAGGAACACCGAUGGCGAAGGCAGCCCCCUGGGCCAACACUGACGCUCAGGCACGAAAGCGUGGGGAGCAAACAGG
This 253-nucleotide ribosomal RNA is filed under the name uncultured bacterium. Its description in RNAcentral is "partial 16S ribosomal RNA". It matches the Rfam family "Bacterial small subunit ribosomal RNA", at positions 524 to 776 of the family's 1533-position model. The record is from RNAcentral.